ACUGAACCGAGCCCCAAUCCCCGACCCGGCGACAGACCAGGCAGCCCCCGAUUUCUAGGGUUCUCCUCCGCCUCCGCCGUCCACCGGCGCGCUCCCGCGUCGCCGCCGGCGGGACGCCUCAAGAGCCCCGUCGGCCCCCUCCACCCCCUCACCCACCUCCAUUGCGCUCCGCUCCGCUCCGCCCCCUCCCCCUCAUCUGCCUCCACCACAGUGACCGGCCGGCCGGCCGCCGCAGGAGCUCGGCCGAGGCGACGGGCCGCCGCAGGAGCUCCACCCCGGCACCGCCUUCGCCGCCCCUCUUCUCUCACCCGGCCUCCCCUGCGCCCGCCGGCUGGAUUCCGCAGCAGUUCGGCCCUGAGGUGCCCUGUCUGAUGCGUUGAUUCGACCGAAGCGGAUGGCCAACACCCGGUCAGGAGGGGCGAACAAUGAGGGGGCAGGGGCCACCAGUGCAAGGAAAGGCAGUGCCGCCACCAAGUCCGCAUCGACCUCCACCUCGUCUGCCGGUGGAAGGGAGUCCAGAAGCUCGUCCACGCGUGAAACGAGCGAGGAGCAGAAGCCAAACCUCAGGAGGUCGAACCGGGAAACAAGAGGAAAGAACCCCGUUGGGACCACCACACCGGUUUCGCAGAAGUCUACGAGGGGCAGGAGCAACCCCAGCACACCUGAUACCCCGAAAUCGUCGCCAAAGAAGCUAAAAGGGUCGACAAUGAAGGCUGGUACCCCAAGAACGUCCGACAGAAUAAAGAAAAGUACCGUUUCAGCUUCGACCGCUUCAAAUGAUUCAAAUGGAGUUCCUAGUCCAGUGGCCACUCCCGACAAAACCGUAAAUGGACAAAUUGAUGAACAUAACUCAGCAAAGCAUAAGCAUGAUGAUGCUUCCGAGAGUGGUACCAGGUCAUUGAAGAAGCAGAAAAGGCUAACUGCAAAGAGCUAUACAAGUCUCUUCAAGACAUCUUCUGAAGAAUAUGAAAAAUCCCCUGGCUAUGAAGGAAAUGCUUCCAAGGUGGACGCGGAAGACAAUGGCUCUGUUUUGAGGUAUGAAGAAAGUGGCGCACAUGAAGAAGAUGACAAGGCACAUUUAAGUCAAGUCGUCAAUAAUUGUUUGGAAGGCUAUACUUCUGGCCAGUGUGAACCUCCCGAGGUGAUAUUGGAGACAGAUGGGUUGAAAACUGAUGUUGAAAAAUCUGCUCAGUGUGAAGCUCCUGAGGUGAUAUUGGAGACAGAUGGGUCGAAAACUGAUGUUGAAAAAUCCGCUCCCAUUUCAGAGGCACAUAUGACUGCUGAUCUGUGCUCACAAAAUAUUCUGACUGAAAGCAGUCCUGCAAUGGAUGCUAGAGAGCCAACUCAUGACUGUUCAGAGUUCGCACUUCACACUGCAAUGGGCCGGAAAGCGGACUCAUCAAAAUUUGUGGAGUAUUGGGUUCCUGCUUGCCUUUCACGAGUGCAACUAGAAAUGUACUGUUAUACCUUACUUUCAAACUCACCAGCGCUUCGAUCACAUUCAAAAACUGACAGUGUUGGUGCUCUUCGCAACAUUCUUGUAUCCCUCCGGAAGUGCUGCGACCACCCUUAUCUAGUAGAUGCAAUGCUCCAAACCUCACUUACCAAGGGCUACCCGAUAACUGAUAUCCUAGAUAUUGGAGUGCGUGCGAGUGGCAAGCUACUGCUUCUUGACAAAAUGCUCCGAGAAAUCAAGGGAAAAGGGCAGAGAGUUCUUAUCCUUACCCAGUCCUGUGGUGGAGCUGGCAAUCCAAUGGGUGAUAUUUUGGAUGAUUUUGUCCGUCAAAGAUAUGGUUUUGAGUCAUAUGAACGCCUGGAGCGUGGUCUCGCUGUAUCAAAGAAACAGGGUGCAAUGAGUAUGUUCAAUGACACGACUAAGGGCCGGUUUAUUUUCUUGAUUGAUAGUCGUGCAUGUCUCCCAAGCAUUAAACUAUCUUCAGUUGAUGUCAUCAUCAUAUAUUGUAGUGAUUGGAAUCCCACAAAUGACUUGAGAGUCCUCCAGAGGAUCAGCAUAGAGUCACAAUCUGAAUGUGUGCCCAUUUUUCGUCUGUAUUCAUCUUGCACAUUGGAGGAAAAGGCUCUUAUACUUGCAAAGCAUGAUCAUAUUCUUGAUAGCAAUGGCCAGAAUAUAACGCCUAUCCUGAGCCAUUCUCUGCUUAGUUGGGGUGCAUCAUUUCAAUUCAGCAGACUCGAAGAGCUAAAAAAUGAUGCAUAUUUAACCAAUGAUUUUGGUGCUGAAAAACUGUUCAUGGAUAAAGUACUUCAGGAGUACUUAAUGAAGUUGUCCAUGAAAAAUGAUCCCAGCACUGAGAUGAGCAAUGCAGCCAUUUCACAAGCUCGUCUGAAUGGACCUUUUUAUUCUAGAGAUACUGUUGUGGUAGGUGAGAGGGGCGGGAUAUCUGCACCUGAUAGUGAUCUGCCAAAAUUCUGGGUAAAUUUGCUAGAUCGGAAGUCUCCUCGUUGGCAGUAUAUAACUGAGCCGACACAAAGAAGCCGUAGAAAGAUACAAAACAUGGAAGAAGCGAAAAUUCCUGCCGAUGAGGCCAGUACCAAACGUAGAAAAAUUGCUGGACCCUUGGAUUCAUCUGCAAAUGUUUUAGCUGGCGAAGAUAAGGACUCAAUAUUGCCUGAAAUUAAUACUACAUCUAGUCGUCAUCAAAUAUCAGUUGACCACACGUGGCAGGAACAAGGGGUGGAACAUCUUCAGGACACACAAAAAGGUCUUCACAUCAAAUUGAAGCCAGAGCUAUCAAAGCUAUAUGAAUUGUUUGAACUACCGGGAAGUGUUCAAUGUUUAUGUGAUGAACUUCUUCAUUAUACUUUGAAGAAUCACCAAGUCAGUGUGGAGCCAAAGCACAUAUUGCAUGCAUUCAAUAUUGCACUGUGCUGGCGUGCUGCUUCUCUCUCAAGGCAUCAGGUUAAUCAUAGAGAAUCACUGGCCCUUGCUGAAAAACACUUGAAAUAUGAGUGCAGUGAAACUCUCGCUGAGUUGGUUUAUAACAAGCUAAGGAUCCUAAAGAAGGAGUUCUCACAUAGAGUACGCGGAACAGGCGAGAAUAAUCAAUCAAUUUCAGUAAAGAACAUAUCACCAUAUCAGCAGGAGACCUCAACUAAAUAUGGAAAUGACAAAUCAAUCCCUGAGCAGGCAGCAUCUGUUGGUGGGAACGAAUCACACCAAGAGGAUUCACAUGAUUUAGUGAUUGAGGCUAUCGUACCAGGAGAGAAGGAAGUCAAGGAACUGCUAUCUGUUCCAGAGAUUCAUGCAAAGCAGCAUUUAUCAAAGGAUGUACUUCUUAGUAGAAUCAGAGAGAAAAGAAUUAAUUUGGUUGACAUGGUUUUCUCCUUGAGAGAAAAGAAUAUCCAUGAUAAACAAGCAAACGAGGUGGCAAUGUUUGACAUGCACAGGCACAAGGGAGUGGUGAAACUGAGAGAAUCAUGCAGAAUAGUUGUGGAACACCUUCGUAGGUCUCAAGCUGAUCCAGAGGGCAGAGGCGGUCAAACGAAGCUAAUAGUUGUAUGGUUUACUAUGCUACUAUGUGCGUUUCUGAAGCACAUGAGGUACCAACGUGAGAAGCUUGACUGGCAGCAAUCAAAGGUGUGGACUAAGGAGUUGCAGUUGAAGGAAGAUUUCCUUGACAAAGCAAAAUCUGGCCAAUUGGAUCAUACUUUUGAUCAACGUAUUUGUUUACCAGAUUCAGGCUUUGCCAUUGAAGAAUUCAGCCACUUUAGCUCCUGUGUUGAUACAGCUACCUUGGCAAACUGUCCGCAGUCUUUGCACGGAACCUCGGCGAUGGAAGUUACAUUGGUUCGUGGUGUGAUUCCAUCUGAUGUUAUCAAUGCAGAAGCAGCGGGAAAUGGUUCUGCUGAAGUUUUUAUCCACAGUGAAGGAAGGCUGGCAUCAGAGAACAUGGUCAGCAAUAGUUUUGCUUGCAUCGACUCGCAAGGAGGGGCAUCUCUGUCAGUUCAACACCAAUUAAACUCUAGUCCUGCAAUUGAUAAUUCUAUUAAUCAGGAAUCUUCAAGUGGUGACCAUAGAAGGAUCGAACAUGUUGAGCAACAGAGUGGUGUGGGUUCGCAACCAUUACCGGGAGAGACUGACCGAUGUUUAGGAGAUGCUGAAAUGGAAGUUAACACCGGCAAUGGAGACAAUACUCAGGCAGAUCCACCGGAAUCACAGACUCUGGCUCCUGUGCCUAGCCAGGCUUCCUUGCAAAUGUCUAAGGAAGUUGAAGCCGAGGCCAAUCUUGUAAUGCCGUCUGCCGAACCAAUUGUAGCACCAGCACCACUUCUACGAAGAGAGGCAGAACAAGUAGACCGUUCUGGUAUAACACCAGCUCAGACGUUGCAACCUGAAAUGCAACCAUCAGCAUCCAGGGAAGUUUCUACUCCGACGGAUCUGAUAAUUCAGUCUGCACAACCAAGUAUGGUGCCAACUGAGCUUUCACAAAGAGAUGUAGAACAAUCAAGCCUACUUUCCCGUGCGCCAUCAUCUCAGUGUUUGCCAUCGGUUCCACUGUCCAGUAUUCCACUUGAAAGAACAAGCCCUGAUCAGUGUCAACAAAGUCAUCAACCUGAGGCUGCACCGGGUUCUUUAGCACAACUCUUUCUGGGGGCACCAAUGAUGUUUAAUCAUCCACCAGUUGGUGAUGAACCACUGAAAAAUGAGUUGCACAGAUUACGGUUAUACAUUGACUCACGUAAUAAAGCCCACAAACUAAAGCAAUCACAACUUAUGACCGAGUGUAGCCAGGAAAUAGAGAAGGUCAAACAAAAGUAUAAUUCGUUACUUGAAGAAAAUGAUUCCACUCAUCUUCAGCAAAGGAAGAUGCUUGAUAGUUUAUGUGAGAAAGUUAUCCUCAACCAGUCACUAGCUGACGAUUUUCGGGCUAAAUUCAUAUCUUCUUCUGGAGCGCAAGCUAGAGCCCACAGCCCUCCAAAUCACCAGAGACCCCAGGCUUCUCAGCAAGUUCCCAUGAGGCCUUCAGCGGCGGCAUCGACUGCAUCACCAACUGCAUCGUCGACAGCUGGUCGACCACCAGUGCAGAUGCAUCAUGUCCAACCAUUACAGGUCCAUCAACCAUCACCAUCAUCAUCAUCAUCGCCAUCUUCACCUCACCCCUCCAGAUCAACAUCAACUACUUUUGGUCUCGUGCCAGUUCUGCCACGGGGAAACUUUGGAGUCCAGAGUGAAGUAACACGUGUACCUGCUCCUCAUCUUCAGCACAGGUUGCCUCCACAGGUGCAUUUGAUGGCACAUGCAAAUCAGCAGCAGCUUCCAACUGGGCUCGAGAGCACGUCUGCAAGGACACGGUCUACCCCUGUGACUCCAGUAAAUAUAAGACAAUCAUGCCCACAGGCAGUUCCCCCAGGGAACCAAUCACUGUCAAGCUUGCACCCAAGUUCACACCCCACUGUACCUGCACCAUUGGGGCCAUCAAGCUCACAUCAAAUUCAGCAGGUUCCACCACUGCCAUCAAGUUCACAGCCAACACGCCUGCUGUCGCCUGUAUCUUCGGUUCCAAGUCCAGUUCUGCCACUAACAUCACCGCGAGGAAAGCUUGGGCUGCGCAAUGAUCCCCCUGGCGUGGCCGCUCGUGUAGAUGUGGUAUGCCUAUCUGACGAUGAAUAGACCGAUGACUAAACCAAGCAAAAAUGAGGCUCGUCUCUUCGCUCCAACAGAAGGUUGCUUUGGUCAAUCUCAUGAGUAACCACCUGUAAUGCAACUGCAUGCUUGUUUCUUCCAUGGGAUGGAUACUUUCUCGUGUCGGUCAAUCUAUCCCAUGAGUAGGGGCGGAAUUUCAUCAAGACUGACAAGCUGUAAAUUAGAGUCCCGGUAUGCAGCGACUCAUUUGUCACGGUUUUUAUGCGAAGCUUGCGCUCUUAGAUGCAUGUGCGCCACAUGUCGCAUGGUUGUCUAAUAUUUUUCCUGCCAGAGAGGAGCUUCGUGCCGGCGACCAAAGAAUCCGCGGUUCUGCGAUCUUUGCUUUUAUUUGCUGAAUUCUUCCAUUUCGUAUAUAUAGUAUGAAGAGGAAUUUGGUACUGUUGCUCAUGUUAGUGGAGACUGACUCAGUUUUAUCUCCUCUGUAAAAUCUUAGUGCACAAGGGAGGGUGGCCAGGCCAGUGAAUGCUUUUACCUCAGCAGAGCUAUAUAGCUCAGGAGUGCAUAUCCAGUGAUACGAGCAGUGCUAUGAUACCGUGAUCCAGCGAGAUGUGGUCCGUUGGAUCUGUACCCGAGGAACAGGAUUUAAGAUCUGCAGACUCCACUGCUAAAUAUACAAAACAGGCCUUAAAUGUGUAUAAAAAGAUUUG
This 6309-nucleotide ribosomal RNA is filed under the name Triticum aestivum (bread wheat). RNAcentral describes it as "partial small subunit ribosomal RNA". The record is from RNAcentral. Lineage: Eukaryota; Viridiplantae; Streptophyta; Magnoliopsida; Poales; Poaceae.